RNAcentral lists this ribosomal RNA (497 nucleotides) under uncultured bacterium. RNAcentral describes it as "partial 16S ribosomal RNA". It matches the Rfam family "Bacterial small subunit ribosomal RNA", at positions 28 to 507 of the family's 1533-position model. The record is from RNAcentral.
GAUGAACGCUGGCGGCGUGCCUAACACAUGCAAGUCGAGCGAACACACGAGGAGGUUUCUUUCUUGACGUUAGCGGCGGACGGGUGUGUGACAUGUGGAUAAACUUCCUAUAUGAAUGGGAUAACUUCGGGAAACCGGUGCUAAUACCGGCUAAACUAUUGAAACGCAUGGUUCAAGAGUGUAAGACGGUUUUGCUGCCACUUAUAGCUGGUUCCGCGCCGCAUUAGCUAGUUGGUAGGGUAACGGCUUACCAAGGCAACGAUGCGUAGCCGACCUGAGAGGAUGAUCAGCCACACUGGAACUGAGACACGGUCCAGACUCCUACGGGAGGCAGCAGUGGGGAAUCUUGCACAAUGGGCGCAAGCCUGACGGAGCAACGCCGCGUGGAUGAUGAAGGUCUUCGGGUCGUAAAGCUCUGUUAUUGGGGAAGAACAAAUUUGUAAGAAACUAUGCACGUAUUGACGGUACCUAAUCAAAAAGCCACGGCUAACUACGUG